Seriola aureovittata is the source of this 2075-nucleotide long non-coding RNA. RefSeq lists it as uncharacterized. The transcript has 4 exons. The record is from RefSeq and is a predicted model, not a curated record. NCBI's taxonomy places the organism in Eukaryota, Metazoa, Chordata, Actinopteri, Carangiformes, Carangidae.
AUCCUCAUAUGCUGAUCUGCUCAAAAAUGUUGUUCUAACAGUUGGAUUUUCUUUGCACAGAACAAGAGGAUAUAGAUCUGCCAUAGCAGAAGUGUGACUCUCUUUCUAUUAAUUCUUGGUGUAAUGUAUCCAAUCUUGUUGGUUUUUUUUGGCAAGUUGUUUGCCUUGUAAUGCUGCAUUAGUUGCCAGAGGAGCCACAGAUCUGAAGACAGAAUGACAGCAGCCAUUCAUCGCCUGCUGUGUGAAAGCAGUGUCUCUUUAUGGCUUGUUGAUUACGCUGAUCUCACCAUCAUGCUGGCUUCGUCACAUGGCUAACCAUAUGCCAACCACUGGUCUUUCCACAGUACGAACACCAGCAGGUGAAUACGUGUAAUCAGAUCGGGAAGAGAGGAGGAGUUGUUCAGUUUCAGGACUUCUGGAAGAGGCAUCCACCAAGGCGGUGGAUGGUAAUGAGUGCUGACAGAGAUGGGCCACCCCCACAGUGCCGUGUGUGCAGAUAGCCGCUGCCAUGGCAAACUGGUUGUCUGCUAAAAAACCAGGCUGUCGGACGUACUGAGAGAAGAGCUUCCUCUCUUCCACAGGUGGCCAGUGUCUACGAGCAAACUACUAAAUCAGGUCUUUUCUUCCUGCAGAAAAAGGACUUCCACUCACUCUGGUGGCCGCGGGUGGUGCGUUGGUGUGGGCCCACAUAUAGACUUGUGAAAAGCAAGGUUAUGCAACAGGCCGGCCACUUGAAUAAACUGCCAUUUACUGUGGGUGAAUGGAGGAGUUAAGAACGGCGAGGGACCCAUUGUCAGCAGUCAUUGGUAUGCAGAGCACUGUACCAUUACGAUUAAGACCCUCGUCGGUUUUUAAUCGAAAUCCACUGUAUCUUCACUCUUGAUCUGUGAGGAGCUUUCUUCUCCAUGUCACCCUCAGACUGCCCCUGUCACAGAGAGCAACAGAAACACAGCAGUCACGUGGUCCGCCCCUGCAUAACACAUGGUGGACCAAAAAAACCCCUACCGGCACUUAGAAUGAAAGCAAAUCAAGCCUGAUAUGUUUUAUGACCAAAUCAUGUGUUCAAAGGUACUUGCAGACAAAUCUUGAGCAAACACUUCACUUGCAGCAUUGCAUGGAGAGAUGUUGCUGUACUCACUGGUUCAAUGAAGUAAUAACCAAAGGUGGACUCUUAGGCUAUUCAAUAACAACCAAAUCGUAUGCAUUUUCUUGUACUUAAUAAGUCAGUGCUUUUAUUCUGACGAAGCAAUCCAUAACUUCCUUGUUGACCCGGACAAACAGUGUUUCAAUAAGAGUUUGACACCUAUUGUCAUCUGAACCAACAGUGCAUGCAGAUAACCAAUGGCCUGGUUCAUUUUAGUCUGAACACAAGGAUUCACCCCAGUUCAGUAAAUCCUCCUUCUCCUCCCUCCCAGUCUGUCUUUGGAAGUGGAGUGAACUAGGUUAGGGUUAUAUAACCAGUGUCUGCUCUCAUAGAUCCUCAGCAGCUCGUCUUCCCCUAAUCUUUUCAGCUUGAUUACACCCUACAUCCCCCUCCUCUGCCGACUCAUUCAACUGAGAGUGUUCUCACACACACAAGUACAUCCACACAGGAGCACAUGGACAGAGCGUCAGGAUCCGCCAUGCACCGGUUUAGAGCGGAUGGGAUGCUUGUGAUUGCAGGUGUGAGUGUGUUUGUGUGUGUGUGUAGCUGCAGCAGUGUUUUGUCAGCGUGCAGCAUCUCGUCAUGACACACGAGAAGACAUGCGGUGGCUGCAUCUGAGGUUAGCUGUGCAUGUUCGCCAAGAUUACAGCUGAAAUUUCCAGACCAUUCCCCUUGUUUGCACUGUAUCUUAGUAUCACGAAGCAUCAGUCUCAGUCAUUACUAUGGCUUGAUAUCUGUGUGAACAAGAGUGACGUUACAAUCUGCUGGAAGAUGUCAACAAAAAGGGACUGUACUCCGAUAAUAUGUGACAUAUCGACUGCCUUGUCUGUGGUUUUGUAACACACAGUGAUACUGAAAAGAGACUGCUGAUACUGAAAGUGUUCCUGCAAUUCAUCAAUGUGGAUGCAACAUACAAAUAAACUAUUAUGAA